This 229-nucleotide ribosomal RNA is filed under the name uncultured bacterium. Its description in RNAcentral is "partial 16S ribosomal RNA". It matches the Rfam family "Bacterial small subunit ribosomal RNA", at positions 568 to 796 of the family's 1533-position model. The record is from RNAcentral.
UGUGUAGGCGGGAGUCUAAGUCAGUGGUGAAAUCUCACAGCUCAACUGUGAAACUGCCAUUGAAACUGGAUUUCUUGAGUAUAGUUGAGGUAGGCGGAAUGUGUUAUGUAGCGGUGAAAUGCUUAGAUAUUACACAGAACACCGAUUGCGAAGGCAGCUUACUAAGCUAUUACUGACGCUGAUGCACGAAAGCGUGGGGAGCGAACAGGAUUAGAUACCCUGGUAGUCC